AACGAACGCUGGCGGCAUGCCUAACACAUGCAAGUCGAACGAGACCUUCGGGUCUAGUGACGCACGGGUGCGUAACGCGUGGGAAUCUGCCCUUGGGUUCGGAAUAACAGUUAGAAAUGACUGCUAAAUACCGGAUAAUGUCUUCGGACCAAAGAUUUAUCGCCCAGGGAUGAGCCCGCGUAGGAUUAGCUAGUUGGUGAGGUAAAGGCUCACCAAGGCGACGAUCCUUAGCUGGUCUGAGAGGAUGAUCAGCCACACUGGGACUGAGACACGGCCCAGACUCCUACGGGAGGCAGCAGUGGGGAAUAUUGGACAAUGGGCGAAAGCCUGAUCCAGCAAUGCCGCGUGAGUGAUGAAGGCCUUAGGGUUGUAAAGCUCUUUUCUUUGGGACGAAACCCCUGUUUCUACGGGGACUGACGGUACCAGAGGAAUAAGCACCGGCUAACUCCGUGCCAGCAGCCGCGGUAAU
RNAcentral lists this ribosomal RNA (469 nucleotides) under uncultured bacterium. Its description in RNAcentral is "bacterial SSU rRNA". It matches the Rfam family "Bacterial small subunit ribosomal RNA", at positions 29 to 524 of the family's 1533-position model. The record is from RNAcentral.